AUUGAACGCUGGCGGCAUGCUUUACACAUGCAAGUCGAACGGGGUGAGGGGGCAACUUCUCAUUCAGUGGCGAACGGGUGAGUAAUGCAUCGGAACGUGUCCCGUAGUGGGGGAUAACUCGGCGAAAGCCGUGCUAAUACCGCAUAUGCUCUACGGAGGAAAGUGGGGGACCUGAAAGGGCCUCACGCUAUGGGAGCGGCCGAUGUCCGAUUAGCUUGUUGGCGGGGAAUGGCCCACCAAGGCGACGAUCGGUAGCUGGUCUGAGAGGAUGAUCAGCCACACUGGGACUGAGACACGGCCCAGACUCCUACGGGAGGCAGCAGUGGGGAAUUUUGGACAAUGGGGGCAACCCUGAUCCAGCCAUGCCGCGUGCGGGAAGAAGGCCU
This 386-nucleotide ribosomal RNA is filed under the name uncultured bacterium. RNAcentral's name for it is "bacterial SSU rRNA". It matches the Rfam family "Bacterial small subunit ribosomal RNA", at positions 30 to 417 of the family's 1533-position model. The record is from RNAcentral.